GUGAGGAAUAUUGGUCAAUGGACGAGAGUCUGAACCAGCCAAGUAGCGUGAAGGAUGACUGCCCUAUGGGUUGUAAACUUCUUUUAUAAGGGAAUAAAGUGAGGGACGUGUCCCUUUUUGUAUGUACCUUAUGAAUAAGGAUCGGCUAACUCCGUGCCAGCAGCCGCGGUAAUACGGAGGAUCCGAGCGUUAUUCGGAUUUAUUGGGUUUAAAGGGAGCGUAGGUUGACAUAUAAGUCAGCUGUGAAAGUUUACGGCUCAACCGUGAAAUUGCAGUUGAUACUGUAUGUCUUGAGUGUACAAGAGGUGGGCGGAAUUCGUGGUGUAGCGGUGAAGUGCUUAGAUAUCACGAAGAACUCCAAUUGCGAAGGCAGCUCACUGGGGUACAACUGACACUGAGGCUCGAAAGUGUGGGUAUCAAACAGGAUUAGAUACCCUUGUAGUCC
This 445-nucleotide ribosomal RNA is filed under the name uncultured bacterium. RNAcentral's name for it is "partial 16S ribosomal RNA". It matches the Rfam family "Bacterial small subunit ribosomal RNA", at positions 354 to 796 of the family's 1533-position model. The record is from RNAcentral.